Molecule: ribosomal RNA, 202 nt
Filed under: uncultured bacterium
Lineage: Bacteria
Description: partial 16S ribosomal RNA
Rfam family: Bacterial small subunit ribosomal RNA
Source: RNAcentral
UGUAGUCUGCAACCCGACUACAUGAAGCCGGAAUCGCUAGUAAUCGCGGAUCAGAAUGCCGCGGUGAAUACGUUCCCGGGUCUUGUACACACCGCCCGUCACACCAUGGGAGUCGGGAAUGCCCGAAGUCAGUGACCCAACCCAAGGGAGGAAGCUGCCGAAGGCAGGCCUGGUGACUGGGGUGAAGUCGUAACAAGGUAGC